This 520-nucleotide ribosomal RNA is filed under the name uncultured bacterium. RNAcentral's name for it is "bacterial SSU rRNA". It matches the Rfam family "Archaeal small subunit ribosomal RNA", at positions 345 to 866 of the family's 1478-position model. The record is from RNAcentral.
AAACUUCACAAUGGAGGCAACUCCGAUGAGGGAAUUCCAAGUGCUAGCACAUUAGUGUUAGCUUUUCUUAAGCGUAGACAACUUAAGGAAUAAGGGCUGGGUAAGACGGGUGCCAGCCGCCGCGGUAAUACCCGCAGCCCAAGUGGUGGUCGAUUUUAUUGAGUCUAAAACGUUCGUAGCCGGUUCAUUAAAUCCUUGGGUAAAUCGGAUGGCUUAACUAUCCGAAUUCCGGGGAGACUGGUGAACUUGGGACCGGGAGAGGCAAGAGGUACUUUUGGGGUAGGGGUAAAAUCCUGUAAUCCUAAAAGGACCACCGGUGGCGAAGGCGUCUUGCUAGAACGGAUCCGACGGUGAGGGACGAAGCCCUGGGUCGCAAACGGGAUUAGAUACCCCGGUAGUCUAGGGUGUAAACGCUGCAGACUUGGUGUUGGGGGACCCUUCGGGGGUGUUCAGUGCCGGAGAGAAGUUGUUAAGUCUGCUAUUGGGGAGUACGUCCGCAAGGAUGAAACUUAAAGGAAUU